GGUCUUUAGUUUUUUAUUUAAGAUCAGGCCUGCCCAUUGAUUUGAAAGAUUAAAAGGCUGCGGUAUUUUAACUGUACGAAGGUAGCAUAAUCAUUUGUCUUUUAAUUGGAGGCUAGAAUGAAUGGUUUGAUGAGAAAUAGUCUUUCUUUUUUUAAUUUAUAUUAAUUUAAUUUUUUAGUUAAAAAGCUAAAAUUUUUUUAUAGGACGAGAAGACCCUAUAGAAGUUUACUAUAUUAAUAAUUCUUUGUUUUUUGUUAUUAAAAUAUUUUUUUAGAUUGUAUAGUUUUGUUGGGGUGACAUUAAAAUUUAUUUAACUUUUAAUUUUCUUUUUUCAUAAAUUUAUGUUUUUUUGAUCCAAUAUUUAUUGAUUAAAAGUUUAACUUACCUUAGGGAUAACAGCGUAAUUUUUUCGGAGAGUUCAUAUCGAUGAAUAAAGUUUGCGA
RNAcentral lists this ribosomal RNA (443 nucleotides) under Limnogonus fossarum. RNAcentral's name for it is "partial 16S large subunit ribosomal RNA". Lineage: Eukaryota; Metazoa; Arthropoda; Insecta; Hemiptera; Gerridae. RNAcentral also lists the same sequence under 2 other names. The record is from RNAcentral.